This is a long non-coding RNA of Heterocephalus glaber (naked mole-rat), 1252 nucleotides long. RefSeq lists it as uncharacterized. Lineage: Eukaryota; Metazoa; Chordata; Mammalia; Rodentia; Bathyergidae. The record is from RefSeq and is a predicted model, not a curated record.
CACUGCAUGGUCCUAGGAAUUACUAUUCAUAUCACAGCCUAGAUUUGUAUACUUAGAAAAGUUUAGUAAAUAAAAUCUAAGAGGAGCUUAGCUUUUUAUAAUUUACACAAAAACUCUAUAUGGCCUGAGGACAGCCUGGGUAGGAUUGGAGGAAGAUUUUGAAUGAGAUCUCUAAUUUGCAGAGAUUGAAUAAGGUGAGAAGAGGGGUCAGGGAUCUAGGGAUGCCUCUUCCUGGGAACCCAGAAAGCUUUUGUUUGCCAGGAUAAAUUAAAUGUUACCUCCCCUGCAGGGUGCCACAUGCUGCCUCUGUCUAACAGCUGAUUCAGGAUCCAGUGCUGGCAACAGAUGCUUCUCCAGCAGCCAUUGUGGAGGUGCAAAGGGAGGCAAGACUUUCUGGGCUGCUGUCCUUGCCCAGAGCACAGGGGACAGAGACAGGAAUGCGGCUGGGUUGGAGAACACAUCUUUCAAAAGUGGCAUCUUAAACACUUUUUGAUUGCAGACAUUACUGUUGGAUGAAGAUGAAAUCCAUGGGCACUCAUCAGGCUGGACAAGGUUUUGGCGCAUUAACAAAGGACCCCCAAACAUUAGUGAAUUGCUCACUCACACAGUGUUGUCUUUCAGGGGUGACUGUCUUCCACUUUGUGACCCAAGAUCCAGGCCAUUUCAGUCUCACAGCCGAACUUCUCAAUAUGUGUUUCCAUGACCCAUGCAGUGGAGGAAGGGAGUCGGAACAGGCCUCAAACUGGCAGGUGAAUACGUCAGCCAGGAAGUGACAGCUCUCACUUCGGCUGGUGACCAGUCACGUGGCUGGAAAAGCAGCAGAGCACCCUGCAACUCCAAAGCACAUAAGAAACUGCAGCCUCUCUGGACACUUGGAGCAGACGGCUCAGCAGGAUUGAUGAUCACACAGGACGUUCCCCAGACAGCUCCCUGCCUCCUCGAACGUGUCCUCCUGAUGGUGAACGGGAGCUCCUGAGAGAAGGGGCCCUCGGGGCAUCACCGGUGUAAUGUCAUCGUCCUGUCCUCUAUGCUGCAGGGCCUCAAUGAAGGCCUGGGGAUGAACAUGGCUACCUCAUCACGGCAAAGAGGUGUCCUGUUGGAAAUGUCCACAGCCAGUGGGAGCGAGAGCAGGGAGGCCUCCGACCACAGCGAGACCCUUGCGAUUUCCCUGGGCUGGUUCCCAACAAUAAAAGGAGUGAGUCAAGUCUGGGGACGACUCUGGCCCCAGGGAAGACCACUGGGCCGCUGUGGG